This 662-nucleotide ribosomal RNA is filed under the name Alteromonas sp. LC203. RNAcentral's name for it is "bacterial SSU rRNA". It matches the Rfam family "Bacterial small subunit ribosomal RNA", at positions 482 to 1149 of the family's 1533-position model. Lineage: Bacteria; Pseudomonadati; Pseudomonadota; Gammaproteobacteria; Alteromonadales; Alteromonadaceae. The record is from RNAcentral.
CAGAAGAAGAACCGGCUAACUCCGUGCCAGCAGCCCCGGUAAUACGGAGGGGCGAGCUUAUCGAAUUACCGGGCGUAAACCGCACGCACCGCUUUUUGUUCRGCUAGAUGUAAACCCCGGGCUCAACCUGGGAUGGUCWUUUAGAACUGGCAGACUAGAGUCUUGGAGAGGGGAGUGGAAUUCCAGGUGUAGCGAURAAAUGCUGUAGAUAUCUGGAGGAACAUCAGUGGCGAAGGCGACUCCCUGGCCAAAGACUGACGCUCAUGUGAGAAAGUGUGGGUAGCGAACAGGAUUAGAUACCCUGGUAGUCACACCGUAAACGCUGUCUACUAGAUGUGUGUGCCUUUAAGGCGUGCGUAGCGAAGCUAACGCGCUAAGUAGAACCGCCUGGGGAGUACGGCCGCAAGGUUAAAACUCAAAUGAAUUGACGGGGGCCCGCACAAGCGGUGGAGCAUGUGGUUUAAUUCGAUGCAACGCGAAGAACCUUACCUACACUUGACAUGCUGAGAAAUUUCUAGAGAUAGUUCGGUGCCUUCGGGAACUCAGACACAGGUGCUGCAUGGCUGUCGUCAGCUCGUGUCGUGAGAUGUUGGGUUAAGUCCCGCAACGAGCGCAACCCUUGUCCUUAGUUGCCAGCCUUAAGUUGGGCACUCUAAGGAGAC